RNAcentral lists this ribosomal RNA (577 nucleotides) under uncultured bacterium. RNAcentral's name for it is "partial 16S ribosomal RNA". It matches the Rfam family "Bacterial small subunit ribosomal RNA", at positions 355 to 932 of the family's 1533-position model. The record is from RNAcentral.
UGGGGAAUUUUGGACAAUGGGCGAAAGCCUGAUCCAGCAAUGCCGCGUGUGUGAAGAAGGCCUUCGGGUUGUAAAGCACUUUUGUCCGGAAAGAAAUCCUUGGCUCUAAUACAGUCGGGGGAUGACGGUACCGGAAGAAUAAGCACCGGCUAACUACGUGCCAGCAGCCGCGGUAAUACGUAGGGUGCAAGCGUUAAUCGGAAUUACUGGGCGUAAAGCGUGCGCAGGCGGUUUGCUAAGACCGAUGUGAAAUCCCCGGGCUCAACCUGGGAACUGCAUUGGUGACUGGCAGGCUAGAGUAUGGCAGAGGGGGUAGAAUUCCACGUGUAGCAGUGAAAUGCGUAGAGAUGUGGAGGAAUACCGAUGGCGAAGGCAGCCCCCUGGGCCAAUACUGACGCUCAUGCACGAAAGCGUGGGGAGCAAACAGGAUUAGAUACCCUGGUAGCCCACGCCCUAAACGAUGUCAACUAGUUGUUGGGGAUUCAUUCCUUAGUAACGUAGCUAACGCGUGAAGUUGACCGCCUGGGGAGUACGGUCGCAAGAUUAAAACUUAAAUGAAUUGACGGGGUCAUAGCUG